This 464-nucleotide ribosomal RNA is filed under the name uncultured bacterium. Its description in RNAcentral is "partial 16S ribosomal RNA". It matches the Rfam family "Bacterial small subunit ribosomal RNA", at positions 29 to 507 of the family's 1533-position model. The record is from RNAcentral.
ACGGACGCUGGCGGCGUGCUUAACACAUGCAAGUCGAACGGAAAGGCCCCUUUGGGGGUACUCGAGUGGCGAACGGGUGAGUAACACGUGAGUAACCUGCCCUUGACUUCGGGAUAACUUCAGGAAACUGGGGCUAAUACCGGAUAGGAAUCCUUGCUGCAUGGUGGGGGUUGGAAAGCUUCGGCGGUUUUGGAUGGACUCGCGGCUUAUCAGCUUGUUGGUGGGGUAGUGGCUUACCAAGGCUUUGACGGGUAGCCGGCCUGAGAGGGCGACCGGCCACAUUGGGACUGAGAUACGGCCCAGACUCCUACGGGAGGCAGCAGUGGGGAAUAUUGCACAAUGGGCGGAAGCCUGAUGCAGCAACGCCGCGUGCGGGAUGACGGCCUUCGGGUUGUAAACCGCUUUCAGCAGGGGCGAAGCUUGUGGUGACGGUACCUGCAGAAGAAGCACCGGCUAACUACGUG